RNAcentral lists this small nuclear RNA (28 nucleotides) under Arabidopsis thaliana (thale cress). Its description in RNAcentral is "snRNA_16162". The record is from RNAcentral. Lineage: Eukaryota; Viridiplantae; Streptophyta; Magnoliopsida; Brassicales; Brassicaceae.
UUCGCUAUGUGCUCACCACAUGGCUGCG